Notothenia coriiceps (black rockcod) is the source of this 783-nucleotide long non-coding RNA. RefSeq lists it as uncharacterized. The record is from RefSeq and is a predicted model, not a curated record. The transcript is spliced from 3 exons. Lineage: Eukaryota; Metazoa; Chordata; Actinopteri; Perciformes; Nototheniidae.
CUUUUGUUGAGCUUGCAUGGAGCUCCAGCAGCAGGGACACACUCAGUUUGAGCAGUUUUGUGUGAAGUUCUUUGUGUCCCUUAACAAAACGUUUUGGGCUCGUGCCAGCUGGGUCUACUCCUCUGGCGCGACACAAGACAGGAAGCUGACAUAAAAGAAUGGGACUGUCUGUGAGGGACACAGGAGCCAAGACAAGAGUCACGACGGUAGACACCGACGAGGUCGGAAGUUAUUGUUUCAGCUUUCAGGCUUCCAUGGUGACAAGAAUCUUAUCCCUCAAUCGAACACAUUGUGAUUCCAUGGUGACGGCAACAAGUGUGGAGAACAAUCCCGAACAGGAACCUCAUCACUGGAGUUUCUCCCCAAUCAAACGCUGUCAUUUGGCCGAUGAGUAAAGCAUUUAACCCCUGUUAUACUCCAUUGGGGCUACUAAGUGGCCAACAACUUAACACUGUAACAACUUUCUUUAAAACUACUCAUUGUACGUUGAAUAUUAAUCUUUAACUUUAAUUUGUAUUCAGUACCAUGUGGUUAUACAUAUUUACAAUGAAGAUAAUACCCUCAGAUAUUCAUUCAUUUGAACUUUCUCUUACUUUUUCUGGUUAGGUUAUUUACACAUAAUUUGAGAUAAGCUGUUUCAACGUUAAGAGGUCAUCUUAAUCUGGUUUAUGUGUAUGUACUCCUUUUUAAUUCAACCCACCUUGUUGUUUGUCCCUACAGAAUCAGCUCCAACUCCCUGCUGCACUGAACAAAGCAUAUAUCUCAUUAGUCUGUCCCCUUCUC